GAGUUUGAUCGUGGCUCAGGAUGAACGCUGGCUGUGUGCCUAAUACAUGCAUGUCGAACGAAGCACUUGUGCUUAGUGGCAAAUGGGUGAGUAACACGUACUUAAUCUACCUUUAAGAUUGGAAUAACAUUUGGAAACAACUGCUAAUACCAAAUAUGUAAUCAUUUCGCAUGAAUUGAUUAUAAAAGAAGCGUUUGCUUCGCUUAGAGAUGAGAGUGCGUUACAUUAGAUAGUUGGUAAGGUAAUGGCUUACCAAGUCAAUGAUGUAUAGCGGGGUCGGAGAGGCUGAACCGCCACACUGGGACUGAGAUACGGCCCAGACUCCUACGGGAGGCAGCAGUAGGGAAUAUUCCACAAUGAACGAAAGUUUGAUGGAGCGACACAGUGUGCAGGAUGACGGUCUUAGGAUUGUAACUGCUGUUAUAAGAGAAGAACAAGCUUGAUAGGAAUGAUCGAGCCCUGACGGUACCUUAUCAGAAAGCACCGGCC
Molecule: ribosomal RNA, 489 nt
Filed under: uncultured Mollicutes bacterium
Lineage: Bacteria; Bacillati; Mycoplasmatota; Mollicutes
Description: partial 16S ribosomal RNA
Rfam family: Bacterial small subunit ribosomal RNA
Source: RNAcentral